CGCUAGCGGCAGGCUUAACACAUGCAAGUCGAGGGGCAGCAUAAUGGAUAGCAAUACACUGGUGGCGACCGGCGCACGGUGCGUAACGCGUAUGCAACCUACCCAUAACAGGGGGAUAACACUGAGAAAUUGGUACUAAUACCCCCAUAACAUCAGGACCGGCAUCGGUUCUGGUUGAAAACUCCGGUGGUUAUGGAUGGGCAUGCGUUGUAUUAGCUGGUUGGUGAGGUAACGGCUCACCAAGGCAACGAUACAUAGGGGGACUGAGAGGUUAACCCCCCACAUUGGUACUGAGACACGGACCAAACUCCUACGGGAGGCAGCAGUGAGGAAUAUUGGUCAAUGGACGCAAGUCUGAACCAGCCAUGCCGCGUGCAGGAAGACGGCUCUAUGAGUUGUAAACUGCUUUUGUACGAGAGUAAACGCUCUUACGUGUAAGAGCCUGAAAGUAUCGUACGAAUAAGGAUCGGCUAACUCCGUG
Molecule: ribosomal RNA, 481 nt
Filed under: uncultured bacterium
Lineage: Bacteria
Description: bacterial SSU rRNA
Rfam family: Bacterial small subunit ribosomal RNA
Source: RNAcentral